GGAGGGUUUUACGGCUGUUUUGAAAGCAGCUUUUGCCUACUUAGGCGCCCUCCU
Molecule: transfer RNA, 54 nt
Filed under: Lepidodermella squamata
Lineage: Eukaryota; Metazoa; Gastrotricha; Chaetonotida; Chaetonotidae
Description: tRNA-Ser
Source: RNAcentral